Long non-coding RNA from Syngnathus acus (greater pipefish), 607 nucleotides. RefSeq lists it as uncharacterized. The record is from RefSeq and is a predicted model, not a curated record. The transcript is spliced from 3 exons. NCBI's taxonomy places the organism in Eukaryota, Metazoa, Chordata, Actinopteri, Syngnathiformes, Syngnathidae.
GAAUAAAACCCAAUGUUGCGCUUCAGAACGCUGUGGGAGAUCAUGUUGAACUUCUUGUGAGGACCAGCAAAUUACAUUUGGAAAAGAUUCACAUUCACGACCAUGCUCUCAUCUGGCACGCUCCAAAGCAGCUGUACAAGGUUCAUCUGGGAGAUGGCCUCCUAACAUGGUUAUUCCAAUGUGACUUGAUGGGCUGCAGACAUUAGCCAUGUUCCCGUAUUGUUACGUGAGUGACAUCGGCAAAGAGAUACAAAUCACUAAAGGAAAAGAAGGACUGUACGCUGCCCUGGAAAACAGGAACGUCCAAGUCAGACUACCAGAGGCCUCAACGUGACUGAGGAGCACACAUAAAAGCCAAGUCUGACAUCUAGUGAGUGCUUUGUAAAGUGUAGUUUUGGACCAGCAAAUCCUAAAAUGAAUUUUACAGACAACAUAUACUAAAACAGUCAAAAUUGGAAAAUGCAGUACUGCACUACCAGAGUUGGAUGAGUUAACAAAAAAUGAUUGUUUCACAAAACAAUAUAUUAACGUAAAAUAAUGACAAACAUCUGCAGAAACAAAGGCAAUAGUGCAAAUUCAGUGCUGUUGAUACUGUUGAAUAAUAGAA